GCCGAUGUAGCUCAGUGGUAGAGCAAGUGAUUUGUAAUCACUAGGUCAGAGGUUCGAAUCCUCUCAUCGGCU
RNAcentral lists this transfer RNA (72 nucleotides) under candidate division Zixibacteria bacterium SM23_73_2. RNAcentral describes it as "tRNA-Thr". It matches the Rfam family "tRNA". From Rfam's summary of the family: Transfer RNA (tRNA) molecules are approximately 80 nucleotides in length. Their secondary structure includes four short double-helical elements and three loops (D, anti-codon, and T loops). Further hydrogen bonds mediate the characteristic L-shaped molecular structure. tRNAs have two regions of fundamental functional importance: the anti-codon, which is responsible for specific mRNA codon recognition, and the 3' end, to which the tRNAs corresponding amino acid is attached (by aminoacyl-tRNA synthetases). tRNAs cope with the degeneracy of the genetic code in two manners: having more than one tRNA (with a specific anti-codon) for a particular amino acid; and 'wobble' base-pairing, i.e. permitting non-standard base-pairing at the 3rd anti-codon position. Lineage: Bacteria; Pseudomonadati; Candidatus Zixiibacteriota. The record is from RNAcentral. RNAcentral also lists the same sequence under 2 other names.